Molecule: ribosomal RNA, 495 nt
Filed under: uncultured bacterium
Lineage: Bacteria
Description: partial 16S ribosomal RNA
Rfam family: Bacterial small subunit ribosomal RNA
Source: RNAcentral
GACGAACGCUGGCGGCGUGCCUAAUACAUGCAAGUAGAACGCUGAAGGAGGAGCUUGCUUCUCUGGAUGAGUUGCGAACGGGUGAGUAACGCGUAGGUAACCUGCCUGGUAGCGGGGGAUAUCUAUUGGAAACGAUAGCUAAUACCGCAUAAUAGUAGAUGUUGCAUGACAUUUGCUUAAAAGGUGCAAUUGCAUCACUACCAGAUGGACCUGCGUUGUAUUAGCUAGUUGGUGAGGUAACGGCUCACCAAGGCAACGAUACAUAGCCGACCUGAGAGGGUGAUCGGCCACACUGGGACUGAGACACGGCCCAGACUCCUACGGGAGGCAGCAGUAGGGAAUCUUCGGCAAUGGACGGAAGUCUGACCGAGCAACGCCGCGUGAGUGAAGAAGGUUUUCGGAUCGUAAAGCUCUGUUGUAAGAGAAGAACGAGUGUGAGAGUGGAAAGUUCACACUGUGACGGUAUCUUACCAGAAAGGGACGGCUAACUACGUG